Long non-coding RNA from Rattus norvegicus (Norway rat), 819 nucleotides. RefSeq lists it as uncharacterized. The record is from RefSeq and is a predicted model, not a curated record. Lineage: Eukaryota; Metazoa; Chordata; Mammalia; Rodentia; Muridae.
CCUCCUGCUGCCACCCCUCAAGCUCUUGAAAUACAGGUGCACACUAUUAGGCUUCAUUCCAGGCAGUGCUAAGAAUGCAGGGCUUUGUGUGUGCUAGACAAGCACUGGGUGUAGGGAGAACAUCUGUGUGUUGUAUGGAUGCAUCACCUGUCAAUUAAAAAGCCUCUGGCCUAUGGCUUAGGCAGGAACUAGAAGGCGGGGCAUCAGGAGGAGAAAGAAUUCUGGGAGAGAAGGAAGUGGGGAGAUUCGCCAGGAAGGCGUGACAAGUCCGAUGCCUGGAACCUGAGAAUAGGAGCAUCAGGAAAGAUAGUUAAUUGGGAUCUGAGGACGGGCACUGGCUGCCGGUCUAUCGUGAUGCAUCAGCAAGUCUCCCUGGCUCCCAUUCACCUGCUGAGGAGACAUGGAAGAAAUAUACCAGGGCCCAUGAAAGGGACUCUGCAUGGUGCAUCCAGGGUGGAUGGGGCAACAGCACACAUCGAGAGAACUGUGGAGCUCACCCCUGUCUGGGCCUAAUCGAAGUCUUACCCAGCAUAUUGACUAACGAGACUGUUCAAACUACUAUUUUCUAUUUUUAAGUAGAAAGGCUUGAGCAUCUCCCUCCCAAAUAAAAGCAGACCCAGGCAACUCGGUUCAGCGCUCCCAAUGCCAGAUGACCAACUUGAGAACAGGAAGCAAAGGACCUACUGGACAAUUGACUUCCAGUCAGCCUGCGCCCUGGUUCCUCUGUGUGCCUGGUACAUGUGUCAGAUUGUUUAUUGUCAACAUUGAUGGCAACUUGGCAGGGUUUUCUUAAUUAUCAUUAUUUUUUUAAUGCAAGUA